AGGAAUGUCUCCAAGUGAACAGUCUGUGUCUCAGGUUCAGAGGGAAGACAGGGUAGCUGAGUCUGCAGAGCAGAACAGCUGGGCAGUUAAUCUCUCGAGAAUGCAGGGAAUGGCAGGUAUACUCUCAUCUCUAGACACUUUGCAUAGGCCU
This is a long non-coding RNA of Dermochelys coriacea (leatherback sea turtle), 151 nucleotides long. RefSeq lists it as uncharacterized. NCBI's taxonomy places the organism in Eukaryota, Metazoa, Chordata, Testudines, Dermochelyidae. The record is from RefSeq and is a predicted model, not a curated record. The transcript has 3 exons.